RNAcentral lists this long non-coding RNA (6171 nucleotides) under Sus scrofa (pig). RNAcentral's name for it is "lncRNA (ENSSSCG00015005769.1)". The record is from RNAcentral. Lineage: Eukaryota; Metazoa; Chordata; Mammalia; Artiodactyla; Suidae.
UUUUUUUUUUUUUCCUGCUUUUUAGGGCCACACCCAGGGCAUAUGGAAGUUCCCAGGCUAGGGGUCUAGUCGGAGCUACAGCUACAGGCCUAUGCCACAGCCACAAGCAACAGGAAUCUGAGCCAUGUCUGUGACCUUCACCACAGCUCACAGCAUUGCCAGAUCCUUAACCCACUGAGCGAGGCCAGGGAUCAAACCCACAUCCUCAUGGAUCCUAAUCAGGUUCGUUAAUGGCUGAACCACAAUGGGAACUCCAGGUUCUUCCUUCUGUUGAGGAAGAACUAACAUCUUAGGAUUGAUUUUAAUUUUAUGCUAAGUGGGGCAAAGGAAUGUUUAUCAGUUUGUUUUUACAGUAUACUAGUGAUUUUUACUUAUAGUAAGUCGAUACUUCUUUUUCAAAUAGGAUCGCAAGAGAAAAACUAUAGAAUUAAAGCUGCCUGUACUUUUGGAUUUGGGAUUUACUCUUUGAAUUUUAACUUAUUUCUAACUCUUAAGCAUUCUUAAUAUUUGCCUGCUGGCAGAGCCAUGCACUUUGUAUCAAACUGCCCACUUGCCCAGUGUAGGGGAAAAAAAGCCUUUGCGGGCGAUGAUACUGCCACAAUUCAAGAUGGAAUCAGAUUUAGUGACACUUAAGAUUUGGCCUGGACCAGAAUGCAAAAGCAGAAGUUUUACAGUUCACCAAACUGCCUCUGCAUUCACCCAGAAAAAAAUGUUCCAAAGUGUUCAAGCUAGCUUUUCAGAAAUAUUACAGUUGUAAAAUCUGUGACACCAGUAUUAAUUGUGCCAAGCAUGGGUUUUAUUUUUGUAAGUUGUUUACCUAUGCCAAUGUUUAAGUGUACGUUCUGUGCAAAAAGAUGUGGAUAAUAGUUCUCUUUAUAGAAAAAUCAAUGCACCCGAACAGUCAUAAAAUAUAACAGUGUGUACAUGUACAUGCAUUAUGCAAGUACAAAUAGAUCUACAUUGGGCCAGAUGUGAUCUAAUCAUUCUGGAAGUUCUGUUUAGGUAUAUGAUAUUAAAAAAUGCUUAACAGGCUUUUUUCCUCAGAGUGAAGCCGUACAUUUCACAAUACUCCCGGAAAAUUAUAUUUGACAUGUAAUUUUAAAAUGAAGUUACUCUAAUCUAAAGUAAUAGUGGAACAACAGGGAUAAGCACUGAAGCCUUUCAUAAGACAAAAUGGAUUUUAAAAUUCUAGAAAGUUUUAGUUACAAAUAAUUAGAAAUGCAAUUUAGAACAUUUAAAAUGUAUUUCUUUCAAUGGUUAAUUACAUUAGAACAGUUAUUAUUCUAAAUGGUGAUGAACUAAUAAAUUGUAAUAAUCAUCUCACUAAAAAUUGGAUUCCAAUGCUUUAAUAGGUAGUCUGUAUAUGACUAGAGAAGGCUCUUUUUCCAACUCUGGAAAUUUACUUCAGUAAAGUAUGGAUGCAUAUAGAUACAUGCACAUAACAAAUAAAUAUUACAUGUAUAUAUGAAUAUACACAUUUAAUUGUGGUCUUAUAUAUGGGACUCUAAAAGGAUUUUAGUUGUCAUGUAUGCUAUGUCUGUACAAAUUCAUGCAGUAAAGUGGAUUGUACUAGAAUACAUAUCACUUCUAAAAAUCAUCUCAGAUGUAUGAUAGCAUGGCUUGGGUCUAAGUAGGUCUCUUUGGAUAUAGGCUCCCUCCUCUUAACCUACAAAAGUUAUCACUCUUUCCACUAUUAGAAACAAAGAAAGGAAACAAAGAGAGAAAUGGAAAGGAGGAGAAAGGAGAGGAAAGGAAAAGGAUGCAAAACACAAGUGGAAAAGGAAGCAGAAAUGGAAAUGUACACGGGUAGGAGAGGGGCGGGGAAAUCCACCUUGUUCUUGAAGGUGUGAAAACUCACUUCCACCAGUACUCUGACCUCAGGGAAGAAGGACAAUCAUUAGGAAAAGAACAACCUAAGAUUUUGGUCACACCCAAUUUUGCCACCCUACCAAUAAUGUGAAUUAUUUUGUUUGUUUGGCCAUAUCUGGGGCAUGCAGAAGUUCCUGGGCUGGGGACCAAACCUGUGCCACUACAGUAACAGAGCUACAGCAAUGACAAUGCCAUAUCCUUAACCCACUGAGCCACAAGGGAACACCUAUUUUAUGUUUUAAAUCAAAGUCAAAAGCAAAUAGAUGGUGAUGAAAACAUGAUUGGGAAUUUGCUAUGAUUUUAAUGGAAUUUUAAUAAACAUUUAUUUUAUAUUUUUGGAGAUUAUUUUUCUCCUCAUAUAAGUCUGUACUCCAUACCCUUUCCCCCCAUGGGCACUCCUUACUCUUUGUUCCUCUCAUAGCACACAUACAUUUAUAUCAGUCAUGGACGCCACACAUUUAAGAUAGUAAUUAAAACAAAUUUAACUCACUCUACCUCAGAAAUGAUAAACAAUAACUUCAUGUAUCUUUUUCUUUGACCACAGCCUCCUAUGCUUCCAGCUCUUUCACAUAGUGACACCAAGUAUACCCAUUCUUCAGUUUAAAAGGCAUUUCUUAUUUCUGGACCCCUCUACUGUGUUUUUAGCUAUAUGUCCCUUCCUGUCCUAAUUUCUCUUCAUCUUCAGCCUAAAGCCCAGAGUGUAUCUGUUAUUUUCUUGCAGAUACCAGUGGUUGCCUAAUCCAACAACCAAUGCUAUUUACAUUGUCUCUCACCUUUAGAGUUUAGUAAACUGAAUAAAUAGCCUUUUUACCAGCAUCUUUUGCAUGGAGAAAUGUAACACAGGUCUUGCCAGUGAAAUGACAGUGAAAGUUUUCCUGAUAAAAUAAAUGAUAGAGCAGACAUUUUCCCUUUUUCCCAUUCUCUUUGCCUAGAAUGCCUGGAGUUGUGAAAUCUGUCUUGUGACCGUGAAGGAAAAGUGGAAAGAAUGAGACUCUAGCCUCAACACACUUGAGCCACUGAACUAAGGGGAGGAGCCACCUAGUUCCACAUUUGUUAUGUGAGAAUAAUAAAUGCUUAUUUGUUUAAACCACUCUAAAUUGGGUCAGGUGUUACUUUCAACCAAAAGCAUUCUUAUUUUCUCUUACUAAUACCUCAAUUCCCAUGAUCCAUUGUUCUUCUCCCUUCUCUCUUCAGGGUAAUCAUGCUAUGAGGAGUUCCUGAUCUCCUUGUUCUUACUGACAGCUCAAUUCAUACAAUUUUGGGGAAUUAUCACACCGGUAUAACUUGAACAAAGCCAAGCUCCCCACAGUUCCCUACUGGCAUGGAGCUGCAUACAAGUAAAAAUCAAUCCGAAUAAAACAUGAUUGAAAAACAAUGUAAAUAGUUACUGAAUUCUCUCUAAGGAUACCAAAGGAAGAUUCCAUUUAUUAUGUGCAAAAAAACUGAAAAAAAUUUCUUUCAAAUCUUUCUCAGACUCAACCUCUCACAACUCAAAUCAACAAAUGUUCCCUCCUCCAUUCUAAGAUCUAUCCUCUACGACUGAACAAAAAAAGCCAAUAAGUAGUUUUUUCCCUCUUCCUCAGCUCAUGUAAACUUGGUGGCUUAUUCUUCACUUUCUGUAUUACCUCUUUAUAAUGUGGCCAAACUUAGCCUAUCAUAUUUCAACUUUUCUAUUUACAUAUAUAAAAAAUGGCCUGAGAGGAGUUCCCUGGCGGUCUAGGGGUUAGGAUUCAGCACUUAUACCAGUGUGGUCUCAGUUCAAUCCCUGGCCUGGGAACUGGCAUGCCACGCUGCAUCCCCUCCCCCAGUGGCCUGAGAAGUUAUUAAACAAGCAAGAACUCCUUUUCCUUUGGAUGGUAGUGCUCGUGGAUUGCAAAAGCAUAUAUGUUACUUACUUCUUUAAUCCUUCACAUUUGUAUAUGUCUCCUCUUUCCAAAAUUUUCCUGAUACCAUAUUUCCACCCUCCCCCCUUGCUUUGUUUUGACCUCCAUUGUAUAUAUUAGUUCCACUAUAAAAACCCCUAUUAAAAAAAAAAAAAAAGCAAAAGUUCGCCAUUUUUAAAAUCCAAUUAGGCUUGAUAAAGACCAUGUGUCAUUUAAAGUCUUUUAAAAUGCUCAAGAGUCCUAUUCUGAGACUUUACACAAUUUCAACUAACUUUGGCAUCCUCUUCUAAUUAAAUCUGUUUUUCCUCGAGUACCACCAUUCCAGGUCAAAAUAUAAAAUUCUCUUAUCCAAUGGUAGUGCUCUUGUUUUAAGACUGUAUCACAAAAGUGUUUGCUUCUGUUCCCUGAAAAUGUAUGUGAUUUUGUUGACAUUAUUGGUAUCCUGGGAGAGCCCAACCACCAUUUAUAACAUUGCUUCUGUGGGAAAAUGCUUUCUGGAUUCCAAAUGACUGACAUCCAAACAAAGUUUUCCCACUUGAGUAAUCAGGAUUCGAACAAUAAUAUGCCCUACAUCUGUCUACAAGCCAUUUAUGAAAAGGGUACUGCCUUUAUUUGAAAAACACAUGUUAGUAUGUUGCUCUUAAUCAGGGAAAAAGAAAUAUUAAGAUGAUGAGGUUUCAUGCCUGGAUUUUUCUUCCUAGUUUUCAAUUACAUUCCUCCGAUCUAUCAGAUUAGACUCAUGUAAAUCCUAAAGAAUAUUCUGUCACUACAACAGAUGCUCCAUUUUUAAUCUUUUGAGAAUAAUUUUCAACACGUAAAACACCAGUUAAGCAUUCAGGUUAUGGAAAUCUCUCAAUAAUUACAGAAAACAGAUUUUCAGAACUAAGUAGAUGGAUUUGAACAGAUGCUUUGUUUUCAAAAUUUUACCUAAUAAGUUGUAAUUUUUUCUUUCACUAGAAUGUACCCAAUCAACAUACUGCUAUUGAAUAGCAUUCCCUACUGGUACAAAUUAGCCUGGGGUCAACAGAGGAAGAAAUGGUCAAUGGCUAUUUCCAGGGUUAAGGGUUGCAAAGCCAAGAGCAACUGAAAAAAUUAUGUAAUGAGUGAAUUAGGUUGAGUACAGUGCUAAAAUGGCUGACAGCAGAGUCAUGACUGGGUAGGGACAGAAAUGAGACCAAGUAGAGUGCGCAUGAUGGGCCAGGAAAGAUGGAAGGAGAAGUGGCUGUGUUCAAAUAAGAGAACUUUAGAGUAUUGAAGGUGUAAGAGUUUCAAGUGAUCUGCACUGGCAAUCUGCACUGGUAAUCACUGAAUCUAGGGAAUCCAUGAGAGGCUUGAGUCAAAGUUGACCCUCAGGGUUUGAACUUAGGUGGCUGGGCUCAUUAUUAUUAGAGAUAGAGAAGGUAAAAAGAAUAACAUGCUUUGGAGGGAAAACAGACACAACCCUGUGCUGGGAUGAAUACUAAAGAUGGUAUAAAAUUCAAUGCCUGUUCUUAGCUUUUUGUAAACAAGUGACAAAUGGAUAUGAUAGCACUGGUUUUUAUUUUGCAUUCCUUCUUCUCAAGUCGCCUGAACACAAAACUUUCCAUUCCCAUGGAUUCAAUAAGAGAAGAUUCUAUUUUAAGACCUCAAGAGCAGCGGCAUUUUACCCUUCUGUUUGAUGGGUCACUUCAGGACAGCCAUUCAAAUCCCUCAUGUUCAGUGUCACAAUCAUCUGUAUAAAGCAACCACUGCAUGACUGCUUCAAAGACAUUCGUGGAGGCUACUAUCUGCUCAGGGGAAGAAAAGCUUUCUCAGAGAAAACUACACAUUCCUCCUUGAGGUCAUUUUUGUUAGGAAACAGGUCUGACAAGGCUCCACUGAUACUAACUCAACCUGCCAUACCGGGGUACAGUUAUCUAAAGAUGACAAGGAAUUUCUCUGGACAGUAAAAAUUGUGAAGUGAUUGCCAGAGGCCUGGUUUGCUGACAUUGAUCAAGGUCAGGUUUAUGUAUUUGAAGUAGGAAUGGAAGAAGCAUUUUUCAUUUAUAGCAGUCAUGCAAAUUAGGUCUAUAGUCCAGGGGCUUACAUUGAACUAAGCCAUGGGCAAGAGAGUUUCUAUCAAAACAUUCCAGCGUUCUGGCAGUUUAUGUAGGCCCAGAUACAUUCUGUAAAAUCAGUGUCAAAACAGCCAAGGUGGAUGAAAUGGCAGUGGAACAUAAGACUGCAUGUGGGCUAGUAGAUUAUUGCUCUUUCGUGUUUUUAUUUUCCCUAAUCAAUUUAGAUGGAUAUCUAAGGUAUCAGGAAUAUAAUUUUAUAUUCUUUGAUACUGUAAUAUUAUACCUCAAAGGCACCCUCUCCUGGCCUGUUUCUUCUUUUGUGCAUUCAUCUAUUCAUUUACCCAAACAUCUUGGAAGGGUCCAUUAGGUUCCAAGUGACAUGC